AUGCACGCUGGCGGCGUGCUUAACACAUGCCAGUCGCACGGUGAAGGCGGAGCUUGCUCUGCUGGAUCAGUGGCGAACGGGUGAGUAACACGUGAGCAAUCUGCCCCUGACUCUGGGAUAAGCGCUGGAAACGGCGUCUAAUACUGGAUACGAGCUGCGAAGGCAUCUUCAGCAGCUGGAAAGAAUUUCGGUCAGGGAUGAGCUCGCGGCCUAUCAGCUUGUUGGUGAGGUAAUGGCUCACCAAGGCGUCGACGGGUAGCCGGCCUGAGAGGGUGACCGGCCACACUGGGACUGAGACACGGCCCAGACUCCUACGGGAGGCAGCAGUGGGGAAUAUUGCACAAUGGGCGAAAGCCUGAUGCAGCAACGCCGCGUGAGGGACGACGGCCUUCGGGUUGUAAACCUCUUUUAGCAGGGAAGAAGCGAAAGUGACGGUACCUGCAGAAAAAGCGCCGGCUAACUACGUG
This 467-nucleotide ribosomal RNA is filed under the name uncultured bacterium. RNAcentral's name for it is "partial 16S ribosomal RNA". It matches the Rfam family "Bacterial small subunit ribosomal RNA", at positions 29 to 507 of the family's 1533-position model. The record is from RNAcentral.